GGCACUAAAUAUCAGGGAGUAGAAACUCCUUCUCAGGUGUUGGAACAGGCGAUGGAUAUGAUCUAAAAGUCCAAAUAGUAAUGAAGAAAAAGAUUGUCUUUUCCUGCACUUCCUUAAACAGUUGUCGGGUAUUUCAUGACACUGAAACAGACAGGGUAAUAAUUGAUGUGUUCAACUGUCCACCUCUGUAUGAUGAUGUGAAAGUGCAAGCUUCCUCUUCGGCUUUAUCUACAAAGAAAUGAAUUGGAUAAUCUUCAUAAACAAAAAACUGGAAAAUUUAUCAACCAGAAUAUGCAGUAGAGACAUAUUUUGAUGAGAAAUGACUUAAGUUAUGUUGUAACUGGUAGCUGAUUAAGUAUAGUUCCCUGCACCCCUUCUGGGAAAGAAUUAUGUUCUUUCUAACCCUGCCACAUAGUUAUAUGUUCUAAAUCUUCCUUGCUGGUACAUCUAUAUUGAUAUAUGUAUACACAUG
RNAcentral lists this long non-coding RNA (472 nucleotides) under Homo sapiens (human). RNAcentral describes it as "HSALNT0373471". The record is from RNAcentral. Lineage: Eukaryota; Metazoa; Chordata; Mammalia; Primates; Hominidae.